This is a long non-coding RNA of Salvia splendens (bonfire salvia), 939 nucleotides long. RefSeq lists it as uncharacterized. The record is from RefSeq and is a predicted model, not a curated record. The transcript has 2 exons. NCBI's taxonomy places the organism in Eukaryota, Viridiplantae, Streptophyta, Magnoliopsida, Lamiales, Lamiaceae.
UUCCUCUAUCUUCUUUCUCCCUCUGUCCUCUUUCUCCCCCCAUAUCCGACGGAAAAAAAAACACACCGCCUCCCAAUCCUCCCCGUCGGUUUCCUCCAAUUCGCCGGCUCCCAUCGUCGUCGUCACGAUGCCGCUGCUGUCUCGCCAAGAAGUCGCGAGGGACUGCGGGUCGCCGUCGCUGGAGUCGCCGUCGGUCGUCGCUUCUGGAGCUGAGGCAACCCAGCCGCUGGAGCGGCCACCCUCCUGCCGUCGCCGGGAGUCCAGCCGCCGGCCAGGCACCGCGCAGCCCCGAACACGCCCGGAACCACCCCGAAACGUCCCGCGAUAUACGUUAUUAUUAUAAAGUUAAGUUCUUUCGUACUUUCGAUUACAUACGACGAUUAUUCGAUUUGUUUCAAUUGCUAAUUGGUUGAGUUGGUUAUGGAAAGGAAUUAUGGAAUUGAUAUAUGCAAGCUACCAUUUACUCAUGCUUUAAGAUUUAGAAAAGUGUAUACCUCAAAAAAAUGGUUGAUUUUGGUGGUGAAUGGACAAGAAUGUGUAAUGUGGGGAGUUAGAGAAGAGCAUAAAUUGAGAAGUGGUGGUGACUCUUGGUUUGUGGGCAUUGAUGGUGGAAGAUAGAAGGUGAAGGAGUUGGAGAAGAUGAAAAGUGGAAAGUCUCCAUGGGUGGGGGGAUGGAAUCGGCCGAGAGGUGGAAGGAAGAAAAAAUCCUUGGGCUUGCUCCCAUUUCCUUGGACAGAUUUGGGCUUCAAUUAAUUUAAUUACAUGUUGUUGGGCUCAAGUGUUGUAAGCCCAAGUUGGUGUUACUAUUAUUAUUUAGUGGAUUUAAAAUAAUUAGGGUCCAAGCUAUUUUGUAGGUAGAUAAUUGGACUCUAAUUAAAUUUGCAAAGCCCAAAAUAAAUUCAUACUUUAUAUUUUCGUAUUUUCCUUCGAUAAUUAAAA